RNAcentral lists this ribosomal RNA (709 nucleotides) under uncultured archaeon. RNAcentral describes it as "bacterial SSU rRNA". It matches the Rfam family "Archaeal small subunit ribosomal RNA", at positions 1 to 687 of the family's 1478-position model. The record is from RNAcentral.
UUCCGGUUGAUCCUGCCGGACCCAACUGCUAUCAGAGUGGGACUAAGCCUUGCGAGUCAAACGCCUCUCGACCACGUGAGAGGCGUGGCGGACGGCUCAGUAACACGUAGCCAACCUACUCUGAAGACGUGGAUAACCCCGGGAAACUGGGACUAAUCCACGAUAGAUCAAVACACCUGGAAUGGGUCUUGAUCGAAAGGGUCAGAAGGGCAUGUCCUUCUGACCGCUUCAGAAUGGGGCUGCGGCCGAUCAGGUAGUUGGUGGGGUAAUGGCCCACCAAGCCUAUAACCGGUACGGGCUUUGGAAGAAGGAGCCCGGAGAUGGACACUGAGAUAAGGGUCCAGGCCCUACGGGGCGCAGCAGGCGCGAAACCUUCGCAAUGCGCGAAAGCGCGACGAGGCUACUCUGAGUGCCAUCCGCUGAGGAUGGCUUUUCUCGGGUCUAAAAAGCCCGAGGAAUAAGGGGAGGGCAAGUCUGGUGUCAGCCGCCGCGGUAAUACCAUCUCCUCGAGUGGUUGGGGCGUUUAUUGGGCCUAAAGCAUCCGUAGCCGGCUCCAUAGGUCCUUCKUUAAAUCCAACGGCUCAACCGUUGGGCUGCGAAGGAUACCGUGGGGCUAGGGAGCGGGAGAGGCGGACGGUACUCCGUGGGUAGGGGUAAAAUCCUCUGAUCCACGGAAGACCACCAGUGGCGAAGGCGGUCCNCCAGAACG